Molecule: non-coding RNA, 27 nt
Filed under: Drosophila melanogaster (fruit fly)
Lineage: Eukaryota; Metazoa; Arthropoda; Insecta; Diptera; Drosophilidae
Source: RNAcentral
GAGAAUCGCAUCUUAGAGUAAAUGGCC